This 1061-nucleotide ribosomal RNA is filed under the name Procyrta pectoralis. Its description in RNAcentral is "SSU rRNA". It matches the Rfam family "Eukaryotic small subunit ribosomal RNA", at positions 679 to 1745 of the family's 1831-position model. The record is from RNAcentral. Lineage: Eukaryota; Metazoa; Arthropoda; Insecta; Hemiptera; Membracidae.
UACCGGGAGUUCCGGCCGCCGAUUCAAUCCCGCCGCGGUGCUCUUGACUGAGUGUCGAGGUGGGCCGGCACGUUUACUUUGAACAAAUUAGAGUGCUUAAAGCAGGCUGAUUUCUGCCUGAAUACUGUGUGCAUGGAAUAAUGGAAUAGGACUUCGGUUCUAUUUUGUUGGUUUUAAGAAUCCGAAGUAAUGAUUAAUAGGGACAGGCGGGGGCAUUCGUAUUGCGACGUUAGAGGUGAAAUUCUUGGAUCGUCGCAAGACGUACCUAAGCGAAAGCAUUUGCCAAGUAUGUCCUCGUUAAUCAAGAACGAAAGUUAGAGGUUCGAAGGCGAUCAGAUACCGCCCUAGUUCUAACCAUAAACGAUGCCAGCCAGCGAUCCGCCAAAGUUCCUCCGAUGACUUGGCGGGCAGCUUCCGGGAAACCAAAGCUUUUGGGUUCCGGGGGAAGUAUGGUUGCAAAGCUGAAACUUAAAGGAAUUGACGGAAGGGCACCACCAGGAGUGGAGCCUGCGGCUUAAUUUGACUCAACACGGGAACCUCACCAGGCCCGGACACUGGAAGGAUUGACAGAUUGAUAGCUCUUUCUUGAUUCAGUGGGUGGUGGUGCAUGGCCGUUCUUAGUUGGUGGAGCGAUUUGUCUGGUUAAUUCCGAUAACGAACGAGACUCUAGCCUGCUAACUAGGCGUUUCUGGUAUCCACAAUAGUGCUACCAGCGAAUAAAUUUCUUCUUAGAGGGACAGGCGGCUUCUAGCCGCACGAGACUGAGCAAUAACAGGUCUGUGAUGCCCUUAGAUGUCCUGGGCCGCACGCGCGCUACACUGAAGGAAUCAGCGUGUCUUCCCUGGCCGAAAGGUCCGGGUAACCCGUUGAACCUCCUUCGUGCUAGGGAUUGGGGCUUGCAAUUGUUCCCCAUGAACGAGGAAUUCCCAGUAAGCGCGAGUCAUAAGCUCGCGUUGAUUACGUCCCUGCCCUUUGUACACACCGCCCGUCGCUACUACCGAUUGAAUGAUUUAGUGAGGUCUUCGGACUGGUACGCGGCGAUCGCCUCGUGCGGUCACCGA